AUGUCUGGAGAAGCUGAUGGGAAGACCUACCAGGUAUCAAGGAUGCCCCCUGCUGCUCUCAAUGAGCGCAUCCUUUCUUCCAUGUCUCAAAAGCACGUUGCUGCUCACCCAUGGCAUGACCUGGAGAUAGGUCCAGGAGCCCCUGCAGUUUUCAACUGUGUGGUUGAGAUUCCUAGAGGCAGCAAGGUUAAGUAUGAGUUGGACAAAGCAACUGGUCUUAUCAAGGUUGAUCGUGUUCUGUACUCCUCAGUUGUGUACCCACACAAUUAUGGCUUCAUUCCACGCACACUCUGCGAGGAUAAUGACCCGAUGGACGUCCUUGUCCUGAUGCAGGAACAAGUUGUUCCUGGUUGCUUCCUGCGUGCCCGUGCUAUUGGGCUUAUGCCUAUGAUUGAUCAGGGUGAGAAAGAUGACAAGAUCAUAGCUGUCUGUGCUGAUGAUCCUGAGUACCGUCACUUCAGAGACAUCAGUGAACUUCCCCCGCAUCGCCUACAGGAGAUCCGUCGCUUCUUUGAAGACUACAAGAAGAAUGAAAACAAGGAGGUUGCAGUGAAUGAUUUCCUCCCAGCAGAAGAUGCCAUCAACGCAAUCAAGUACUCAAUGGACCUCUACGGUUCGUACAUCAUGGAGGGCUUAAGGAAGUGA
This 645-nucleotide ribosomal RNA is filed under the name Triticum aestivum (bread wheat). Its description in RNAcentral is "partial small subunit ribosomal RNA". The record is from RNAcentral. Lineage: Eukaryota; Viridiplantae; Streptophyta; Magnoliopsida; Poales; Poaceae.